UGAAAAGCAGUUUUUAGGGUUUCAGAUAUGUAAUUGUGGCAGCAGGCACAGCAUCAGGAGAUCUUGCUUGGACUGCCCUUAAGUACGCUGCUCCAGAGAACUCUGCUCUACGUUGUCAGAAACCAGCUUUCAAGAUAUACUCAGAGGAGAAUCACGAGUGCCAAGAGAGACCAUGAGGCAAACUGCUCUCCAUUGAAGGUAUACCAGCCUACCCUUCGUGAGCUAAACACAACCUCACUCUUGCCAGCAUUGUAACUGACUUUUUAAACCUAGUAAUCUGCAUUUCUUUGAUGCCUUGAAGUCAGUAUUAUUUUCAUGUCUUGGCCAUCUUAAGUUCCUGUUUUGUGAAUAUUCUAUUCCUAUUCCCUGUUAUAAAGGUUUUCAAAGAGUUAAGACAUGUUAAAUAGAAAUUAUUUUGGAAGGUUCUGUGAUUCAAAAUAUCAAAGAGUAUUGCUAACUAGUUGUUUCAGUGGGACCCUACAGACAGGCAGAACCCUGGGGGAAAUCACCGGAAACUAGGGAUGAGGGCUCAGCUGUAAACACCUGCAACCAUAGAACUGAGCAGACCUUCCCAGCAGACCCAUGAAUAGCCUGAAAUUGAGAUUUAUCCCAUACUGCAGGGGUGACACUUAUCCAAUGGCUAGAAUAUUUAUCACUGCUACUCAGAGCACUCUCACUUCAUGAUAUCAGCAUGCCUGGGGA
RNAcentral lists this long non-coding RNA (702 nucleotides) under Pan troglodytes (chimpanzee). RNAcentral's name for it is "long non-coding RNA NONPTRT015299". Lineage: Eukaryota; Metazoa; Chordata; Mammalia; Primates; Hominidae. The record is from RNAcentral.